UGGGGAAUUUUGGACAAUGGGGGGAAACCCUGAUCCAGCCAUCCCGCGUGUGCGAUGAAGGCCUUCGGGUUGUAAAGCACUUUUGGCAGGAAAGAAACGUCGCGGGUUAAUACCCCGCGAAACUGACGGUACCUGCAGAAUAAGCACCGGCUAACUACGUGCCAGCAGCCGCGGUAAUACGUAGGGUGCAAGCGUUAAUCGGAAUUACUGGGGCGUAAAGCGUGCGCAGGCGGUUCGGAAAGAAAGAUGUGAAAUCCCAGAGCUUAACUUUGGAACUGCAUUUUUAACUACCGGGCUAGAGUGUGUCAGAGGGAGGUGGAAUUCCGCGUGUAGCAGUGAAAUGCGUAGAUAUGCGGAGGAACACCGAUGGCGAAGGCAGCCUCCUGGGAUAACACUGACGCUCAUGCACGAAAGCGUGGGGAGCAAACAGGAUUAGAUACCCUGGUAGUCCACGCCCUAAACGAUGU
Molecule: ribosomal RNA, 467 nt
Filed under: uncultured bacterium
Lineage: Bacteria
Description: partial 16S ribosomal RNA
Rfam family: Bacterial small subunit ribosomal RNA
Source: RNAcentral